AGGAGGCUGAUGCGGGGAUAAAAUCAUUAUCAUGCGGUUUAAUUCGAUGAUCCGCGAAAAACCUUACCAACUCUUGACAUGGUAGUCGCGAAAAAUGGAGACAUUUUUCUUCAGUUUGGCUGGACUACACACAGGUGUUGCAUGGCUGUCGUCAGCUCGUGUCGUGAGAUGUUGGGUUAAGUCCCGCAACGAGCGCAACCCUUAUUCUUAUUUGCCAGCGGGUAAUGCCGGGAACUAUAGGAAAACUGCCGGUGCUAAGCCGGAGGAAGGUGGGGAUGAGGUCAAGUCAUCAUGGCCCUUAUGAGUUGGGCUACACGCGUGCUACAAUGGUACCUACAGAGUGAUGCGAUACGGUGACGUGGAGCUAAUCAUUAUC
RNAcentral lists this ribosomal RNA (376 nucleotides) under Orientia tsutsugamushi. RNAcentral describes it as "bacterial SSU rRNA". It matches the Rfam family "Bacterial small subunit ribosomal RNA", at positions 934 to 1279 of the family's 1533-position model. The record is from RNAcentral. Lineage: Bacteria; Pseudomonadati; Pseudomonadota; Alphaproteobacteria; Rickettsiales; Rickettsiaceae.